UCCUCCUUCAUAUUGGUAGGACAAAAAAAUCCCAUUGCAGGAACUGGCAGCAGGAGCCGGUGCUUCGGUGUUAGUCAGGGAGAUCGCAAAGGGUACUAUAGCAACAAUGAUCAGAAAGAGCAAAAUGAAGUUGAAAGCCAUGAACUUUGGGAUGGUUGCUAAAGACAAAUGAAAUUGAAGUGGUUUUUGUAGUGAGAAAGGAUGCGAAGCGUGAAACGAGUAGCUAGAAUCUGUGCUGCUGCUGCUAGCCGUCACGGUAUUCAAAGAAGCUGACUGGAUUUCAUGGGGCGUCCAUAGGGAAUUAAGGGGGAAAAUUAAAAAAAAG
This 325-nucleotide unclassified non-coding RNA is filed under the name Hevea brasiliensis (rubber tree). The record is from RNAcentral. Lineage: Eukaryota; Viridiplantae; Streptophyta; Magnoliopsida; Malpighiales; Euphorbiaceae.